AGUCGGUAACAGAUCCUCGACCAUCCAGUCGGAGACUAGCAUUCGGAGGAUCUCAAGCUAACCGACUAGCUACACUCGGUACAUCGUAACCUCUCUGGAGGGAAACGGUCGCGCGUUUCCGGGUGCAUUUAUUAGCAUUCAGAGCAUACGUUACCUGUAACGUACGCAUUCAAUCCCCACCACCCCACCCCUGUACCGGAACCGUUGUGGAGGGCAGCGCACUCUAUAUAAGCCACCCUCCCCCACUUGUUGAGGGGUUAGCAACUCAUUGUAUUCUAUAU
This 281-nucleotide long non-coding RNA is filed under the name Hordeum vulgare. RNAcentral describes it as "long non-coding RNA (HVUL_LNC015452)". The record is from RNAcentral. Lineage: Eukaryota; Viridiplantae; Streptophyta; Magnoliopsida; Poales; Poaceae.